AGAGUUUGAUCCUGGCUCAGAACGAACGCUGGCGGCGUGGCUAAGACAUGCAAGUCGAACGGACCAUUAAUUUAUUAGUGGUUAGUGGCGAAAGGGUUAGUAACAGGUGGGUAACGUACCCUGUGCUUUGGGAUAGCGUCAGUUGCUUCGGCAACUUUCCGAAAGGGGCGGUAAUACCAAAUAAUAUCAUUUGUCGAUAGGCGAAUGAUCAAAGAUUCAUCGGCACAGGAGCGGCCUGUCUCCUAUCAGCUUGUUGGCGAGGUAACGGCUCACCAAGGCGACGACGGGUAGCGGGACUGAGAGGUUGGCCCGCAACAUCGGGACUGAGACACUGCCCGGACCUCCACGGAGGGCUGCAGUAACGGAUAUUGCGCAAUGGGCGAAAGCCUGACGCAGCGACGCCGCGUGUAGGAUGAAGUCUUUCGGGAUGUAAACUACUGUCAGGGGUAAGAAAGUGCGCUUCGGCGUAUUGAUCCCACCCAGAGGAAGUCACGGCUAACUUCGUGCCAGCAGCCGCGGUAAGACGAAGGUGGCAAGCGUUGUUCGGUAUCACUGGGCUUAAAGCGUGUGUAGGCGGAGAAGUAAGCGUUCUGUGAAAGCCCCCGGCUUAACCGGGGAAUUGCGUGACGAACUGCUUUUCUUGAGGCAAGUAGGGGUGCAUGGAACUCUUGGUGGAGCGGUGGAAUGCGUAGAUAUCAAGAGGAACGCCAGUGGAGAAAUCGGUGCACUGGGCUUGUCCUGACGCUGAGACACGAAAGCGUGGGGAGCGAACGGGAUUAGAUACCCCGGUAGUCCACGCCGUAAACGAUGCCUACUAGUUGUGGUGGUUCUGACACCAGCACAGCCGAAGCAAAAGUGUUAAGUAGCCGCCUGGGGAGUACGGUCGCAAGGCUAAACUCAAAGGAAUUGACGGGGCUCACACAGCGGUGGAGCAUGUGGAUUAAUUCGAGCACGCGUAGACUUACUGGGUUUGACAUGCUUGUAUGCUGCUGAACAGUAGCUGCCCUCGGGGUGAAACUGCACAGGUGCUGCAUGCUGUCGUCAGCUCGGUCGGAAAUGUCGGUAGGUCUUUACGAGCGAA
This 1081-nucleotide ribosomal RNA is filed under the name uncultured bacterium. Its description in RNAcentral is "bacterial SSU rRNA". It matches the Rfam family "Bacterial small subunit ribosomal RNA", at positions 8 to 1100 of the family's 1533-position model. The record is from RNAcentral.